Clupea harengus (Atlantic herring) is the source of this 3008-nucleotide long non-coding RNA. Lineage: Eukaryota; Metazoa; Chordata; Actinopteri; Clupeiformes; Clupeidae. The record is from Ensembl.
GGGUUGAAUGCAAGGGAUUAUGGGAGUUGUAGUUGGAUGAGCAACAGUGUUUGCUGAUGCAUGUGUUCCAAUUUGUUCUAAGAGUUUUGUUUGAAAAUAUUUCAUUGGUAAAGUGAAAUGUAUUGUGUUACAUGCAAUAUUUUGAUGUUUGAAUGUAAAAUGUAUUUAAUUGUAUUACUGUUGUAUGCACUGAGUAACGUUAGGUGAAAGGUGGCAAAUCCCGCAAAAGGAAGAGAAGAUAGAGUUGAAGUCAAGAAGCCAAGUUACUAACUGUCUCCGUGUGUUUUAAGCAGAUGUAAGAAUUAUAACGUGACAAACGGUAUAUAUUUGCAAGUUGGACGUUAUCUAUGUUUAUCAGCGUGUCCGGACUGAAUACGCGAAGUUUGAACUGUAAGAUAGUCGACGGUUUGCAGAAGUUCAUCAUCUCGCCAUUGUGAGGAGACUGCACUUUCCAUUGUGAGAGACUUCCCUGUUGUUGCUCGACGGCAGCUCGACAACAACUCGACAACCCUUGGAUUAAGCACAAGACCUAAAGCCAGACAUUGACGGACUGACCACGGGAAAACGGUGUCAGACAUCCGGCCAGAAAACAAAUAGAUGCGGAGGAUGUGUGAUAUGGUGUCCUAGGGAGAGGAAGGAUCUACUUGGUGUGUUCAAGGCCAUGAAGCAUCACCUCAUCAACUUCACCCGGAACUUGACCAAUAUAGUUGUGAACUAAAACAAGUCUUAUUGUUAUUUUGAGUUAAUUACAUAAACUACUUGGUAUGUGUAGCAAUGUAUUCAGUGUGUUUACAGGUGUAUGUGUUCAUACAGCCAAAUGUUUACUCUAAUCAAAACCAUCUCUCAUUAGUUGGUUGUUAGUUGGUUGUUAGUUGGUCCUCUGCAAGGCUGUCUGCAGCCAUUUGUUUUUGUAAAAUGCCACAUCUGUCACACAUGUUCUUAACAACUCACAAUUAUUUGUUGUACCAUAGUUGUAACAAAAAAGCUUUGAACAAAGUUAAUGUAGGCUAAUAACUUGUGUUUCAUAUUUGUCUUUGUUAUUCACUUUAAAAGUUUGAUCUUUGUUAGAGUAAUGCAGGUUUCUUAACCCUAAAUCAAAAUAAUUUAUGUUAUAAUAGAGAAAUGUGCUUACAUAUAUUUAUAUAAAUGUAUGUACAAUAUUUUUACACUUGAAUAAACAAUAAUCAAAUGCAAAGUUAUUUAACAAUAUGUUAGGGAGUAGUUACAUUUAUACAGUCUUACAUUUACAACCAGCCCUUUGAUGGCAACCAUAAUGCUGAUGUGGCCCAGGGUGAAAAUGAGUUCGACACCCCUGGUCUUACAGUUACAAACGGCCCUUUGAGGGCAACCAUAAUGCUGAUGUGGCCCAGGGUGAAAAUGAGUUUGACACCCCUGGUCUUACAGUUACAAACGGCCCUUUGAGGGCAACCAUAAUGCUGAUGUGGCCCAGGGUGAAAAUGAGUUAGACACCCCUGCUAAAGGUAUCAGCUUCAGCAACACAAGGCAUUUAUAACUAUCUGACCAAAUCAACCUGGUGUAUUGAUGCAGAAAAUGCCUUCAUUAUGGUGUGGGGGUCACUAAGAGCUGAGUGCUACAGGCAAUUUGUCACACAAGUGUCCAGGAUUCAUUAGGAUUUUGUAGAAUAACCCCUCUUUGGCUGCACCUGACCGGUGAGCCCUGACCACUGUGUUUUUCUAGGCAGUGCUGUUUAUUUGAAUAUUUCUUACCUGCAUUUAUGCUUUAUUUUCAGCUUGCACAACAUUUGCUUGAUAAACCCCACCACCCAAUCUGCUUUCCACUGCCCAAGUUGUAUUUUCUCAUCUGUAAAGUACUUUGAAUGACCCCAGUGUUUGAAGUGUACGAUGCUAAAUAAAUGAACCUGCCGUGCCUUACCACGCCUUGUACCAAUGACCGUAUAUACAAUUGAUGCUUCACACCCAUUGGCCGGAAAGGCCAGCUCCACCCCUGAUCAAAUGUUACGCAAUAUUCCAUUCGUUGGACAACCAAAAUUACCAUAACAUAUCUUGACUCUUUUAGGUGUGUAAUAUAUUACUUGAUGAAUGUUUUAAUGACAGCAGUGAAGCAUUUUUUUUGCAAUCAAUCUUAUUUCAUGAUGAUAUAUAAUAAUAAUAAUAAUGGAUUUUAUUUGUAUAGCACACUUUAAAAUACAAAGAAAUCUCAAGGUGCUUAACAUAGUAUAGACAGUCACAACAACAAUAAUACAAAGUAAUAGAAGUGCUAAUGAAGUGCAGAAAAUAGGAUAAUAUAAUAUACCAAAAAAGAUAAUAAAUGAAUUUAAAAUAAUUAAUAAGAUUAUAAUGAGAUCGAAUAAUAUGUAUUAAAAACAGUCAUUUUGGACAGAGCAAUUAAAACAAUGCAUAUAUGUAUCACUGAUACCUCUAAUAUAGGAUUGAAAGAAAUACAUCAAACUAUCAGUAUUGGACUGGAGUGACCUUGAUUGAUUCAUCCCGGAAAUCAGAUGUUUUUAAAUAGCAGGCAUAUGUUUUAAGGUGGUUCUUUUGAUGUUGUAUGGUUCACUUUCAUGAAUUUCUUUGAGGAUCUUCGUGGUCAGGAUCAUAUUGCUGUGAAAUUGCUCAGUAAACUAUAUUAAAGCUGGGUUAUCUGUGAGAGGUGAAAGUAAGAGAAAGAGAAAGAAGAGAUGAUAUGAUAGUCGUACUUUUUGUGCAGUCACACCACUGCACUUUUUAUUUGCACAUCUGAUUAGAAGGACAUUUAUUUCCUUGUGGAAAUCAUGGCAGAUAUGAAUGUGUCAUGAACAAAAUGUUGUGGUAUACUAAGGACAGUUUAUGGCAAGAUUUAAAUGAACUACGGUGUAAUUUUUGUCAUGUUCGUAUACCCCAGCAAUGUUUAAACGGAUGUUUUGCUCAUCAUGGAACCAGCUCAGGAUCGGCCUUGUGCUCGAUCACACACUCCUGUCCAUGGUGUUGGCUGAGGUGUUUUUGUUGUUCUGCGUCGCUCCUACCGAGUGGGUCGGAGGCAGAGAUGGG